RNAcentral lists this ribosomal RNA (549 nucleotides) under Triticum aestivum (bread wheat). RNAcentral's name for it is "partial small subunit ribosomal RNA". Lineage: Eukaryota; Viridiplantae; Streptophyta; Magnoliopsida; Poales; Poaceae. The record is from RNAcentral.
AUGCUAAAUUUCUGUGGGUGGGGGACGUCAUCCAGGCGACAUCGAUGCGCCGGUGGGAUCUUCCUGCCACAUGUGCAUCCCGUCCUGCUUAUGAACCCUCUUAACAUCCCCAGCUCCGGGCGCCAUUUCUACCUCGCCGUUGACCGCCUCCAGUUCAAGAUGAGGACACUACUGGAGCUCCUAGGUGUUGUCUCUGAUCGCCACGGCUCGGUACCCAUUGCCAUAUGUGUUUCAUCCCGGGAUGAGCUAGAUGCUGUCUGUGCUGCUGUUGCCAACCUCCCCUUCGUGUCCUUGUCACCGCUGUACAGCGAUCAAGAUGAAGCUGAGCGUGCAUCUGUUCUUGAGAAAUCCCGUCGGGCAGCAAUACAGCGAAAUCAGAUUGAAGAUACUUCUAUUGGCGAAAGUCCCAAGCCUGAAAGGGUGGUCUUGAAGCUAAAUAUUACAGUUGUAACAGAUGCUUGCUUGCCUUCGGCGGCGAUGGGAGAGGCUCCCCUUAUGUCUCGUGUACUGAUAAACUAUGAAUUGCCUACAAAGAAGAUGGAAUCGUGA